CCCUUAGAUGUUCUGGGCCGCACGCGCGCUACACUGACGAUGGCAACGAGUUUUUCCUUCGCCGAAAGGUGUGGGUAAUCUUUUGAAACAUCGUCGUGCUGGGGAUAGAUCAUUGCAAUUUUUGAUCUUGAACGAGGAAUUCCUAGUAAGCGCGAGUCAUCAGCUCGCGUUGAUUACGUCCCUGCCCUUUGUACACACCGCCCGUCGCAACUACCGAUUGAAUGGUUUAGUGAGGACUCCUGAUUGGCGCCGCCGCCCCGGCAACGGAGCAGCGGACUGCCGAAAAGUUGUUCAAACUUGAUCAUUUAGAGGAAGUAAAAGUCGUAACA
This 329-nucleotide ribosomal RNA is filed under the name uncultured eukaryote. RNAcentral describes it as "partial 18S ribosomal RNA". It matches the Rfam family "Eukaryotic small subunit ribosomal RNA", at positions 1470 to 1796 of the family's 1831-position model. The record is from RNAcentral.